RNAcentral lists this ribosomal RNA (808 nucleotides) under uncultured bacterium. Its description in RNAcentral is "bacterial SSU rRNA". It matches the Rfam family "Bacterial small subunit ribosomal RNA", at positions 8 to 796 of the family's 1533-position model. The record is from RNAcentral.
AGAGUUUGAUCAUGGCUCAGAGCGAACGCUGGCGGCGUGCCUAACACAUGCAAGUCGAACGUGAACGGGGCAACCCUAGUAAAGUGGCGUACGGGUGAGUAACACGUAGGUAAUCUACCCAAGAGUUUGGAAUAACCUGCCGAAAGGCGGGCUAAUACUAGAUAGAGCGACGGGAUCCGUAAACGGAUCUUUCGGGAAAGGGAGCUUGUAAGAGCCCUCGCUUUUGGAUGAGCCUGCGUCUCAUUAGCUAGUUGGUAGGGUAAUGGCCUACCAAGGCUUUGAUGGGUAGCUGGUCUGAGAGGAUGAUCAGCCACACUGGAACUGAAACACGGUCCAGACUCCUACGGGAGGCAGCAGUGGGGAAUCUUGCGCAAUGGACGAAAGUCUGACGCAGCCACGCCGCGUGAGUGAAGAAGGCCUUCGGGUUGUAAAGCUCUGUCGCCUGGGACGAACAUCUAUACAGUUAAGAGCUGGGUAGACUGACGGUACCAGGAGAGGAAGCACCGGCUAACUCCGUGCCAGCAGCCGCGGUAAUACGGAGGGUGCAAGCGUUGCUCGGAAUUAUUGGGCGUAAAGGGGUAGGUAGGUGGUCUCGUUUGUCUGGGGUGAAAGCCUUGAGCUUAACUCAAGAAGUGCCCCAGAAACGGCGAGACUCGAGUACUGGAGAGGCAAGUGGAAUUCCCGGUGUAGCGGUGAAAUGCGUAGAGAUCGGGAGGAACACCAGAGGCGAAGGCGGCUUGCUGGACAGUUACUGACACUCAACUACGAAAGCGUGGGGAGCAAACAGGAUUAGAUACCCUAGUAGUCC